GUAAACAGUUGCUUUAUUAAAAAUUAGCAAAGUAUUUCUAGCCAAUAUGCUAUAAAAAAAGGCAAGUUUGACGUAUAGUAAGAACAAUCAUAACAUCAGAUUAUAAGUCUAAUGAUCUUAUGUAGGGGAGCACCUGCACUUUUUUAUUAUGUAUUACAUAUAUAUAUAGAUUGUUUUAGCCCACAUCUCUAAUUUAUGCUUAUUAGUGCAUAAGUUGCAAACCUACAGCUUCAGACUGCCUGCAACUAUUAACAUGCUAGAACAUAACUCUCAUUUGAGUAUUUUCAGUUGGGAUUGUAAAAGUUGUUCUUCUGAACUUUAGAAUAAAUAUUCAGAAAGGUCAGUUUAUUAAUAAAUUUAGAGCUGCUGUUUUAAUUUCAGAAGAUAUCCAGAUAGCCAGUAUCAAUAAUCCUGAGGAUGCACUAGGCCUUUUUAGAAUUUGAUUGAGAUAGUCCUAAGUUUUGUUCCAAGCUUUAUAUUCACCAUACUGUCAGCAUGUUUUGAUCUGUGUUAGUGCAUGUUUCAGAUUUACCCAUGAAAAAUAUAUCUGCAUUUAGAAAUGAUUUUAUAUAAAAGAACAAAAAUUUUGUCUCCAAAUUAUUUUUUCAAAAAUAAUUUGGAGACACUUGAUCAAUUUUUUUGUGAAAAACUUGUCAGAAAGUACGUAUACUCAUUUAAUAUAUUUUUAUUUAAUAACAUCUUGUUUUUGUUUGCAGAUCACGAUCCCGUUCUCGUUCCCAUUCUCCCCAAGAAAACGAUCAGAAUAGAUUAAGUG
RNAcentral lists this long non-coding RNA (775 nucleotides) under Androctonus crassicauda. The record is from RNAcentral. Lineage: Eukaryota; Metazoa; Arthropoda; Arachnida; Scorpiones; Buthidae.